GUAUUUAGAAUUAUUUCAUUCAAAAAUAGCUUCAGACAAAAAAAAUUGCAAUAAAAAAGUUGGUAUUAUGCGCAUGGCGCGUCACUUGACGCGACGCGUGUAAGCACAAACAUUUCACACAAGGUGAGUACUUGUUUAAAAAGUGCAGUAGAACACUUGUUAUGAAUGAUCCUUCCGCAGGUUCACCUACGGAAA
RNAcentral lists this unclassified non-coding RNA (195 nucleotides) under uncultured fungus. RNAcentral's name for it is "sequence contains ITS1". Lineage: Eukaryota; Fungi. The record is from RNAcentral.